Molecule: ribosomal RNA, 77 nt
Filed under: Pseudidiomarina gelatinasegens
Lineage: Bacteria; Pseudomonadati; Pseudomonadota; Gammaproteobacteria; Alteromonadales; Idiomarinaceae
Description: Pseudidiomarina sp. R04H25 partial 23S ribosomal RNA
Source: RNAcentral
GUGGAAGCGUAGUAAUGCGUUGAGCUAACCCGUACUAAUUGCCCGUGAGGCUUAACCAUACAACACCGAAGGUGUUU